Molecule: long non-coding RNA, 892 nt
Organism: Homo sapiens (human)
Lineage: Eukaryota; Metazoa; Chordata; Mammalia; Primates; Hominidae
Exons: 5
Source: RefSeq, a predicted model, not a curated record
CAAAAAAGCAUGGGAGGCCUCUAAAGCCAGAAAAGGCAAGAGUACAAAUAAUCCUUUACAGCCUUCAGAUAGAAUGCAGCCCUGAUGGCAGCUUGAUUUUAGCUCUUGUCAGAAUUCUGACCUGCUAAAAUGAAAAAACUUCUAGGGGAAUUGGAUGUGAAAAGUGUCCCUGGUCCUAUGAUCACAAAGAUUUGCAGCAAGGUCAAGACACAGAAGUAACAAAUGCUUCCAGCUUCAGCAAAUGGUGCCCCAUCUUCUGCAUGGGAAUACCCAUUAUUCCAAGCCUGUUUUCGGGGAAAGUGAUAGACAAUGGUGGUGCCCAGGGUGCAGGGAACAAAGGGAACUGGACAGAUGGAAAAUACGCAUUGGGGUUAUAAAAUACAAUUCUGCAGAGGUCCUUUUCCUCAGACACAACCUAGAAAAUGGCAAUGAAAAAGAUAAGGAAAAUUAAAGAGAUGAAAUCCAAGAUCAUUAGAAAGCUGUACAUACUGAUACAGACACCCAGGAACCUCAAAAUCACAGGAUACAAAGGGAGAAAAGCAGUAAUCGACCAGCUAGGACUCAGCUAAGCAGGACAGCAGAGUAAAAUGAGGCUCAAGUGCUAACUUCUGGCAGGUUCUUAGGCUUUGGGACUCCGACUGGCUUCCUUGUUCCUCAGCUUGCAGAUGGACUAUUGAGGGACCUUGUGAUCAUGGAAAAAAACAAACCAACCAACAAACUGAGCCUGAAACUGAUAACACAGAUACGUACAGCAUCAUAUUUAAGUAACCAAUCGGAAUUAUUGCAGUGGAGAUGUUUUAUUGGUGGGAAAUACGGUAUCACACCAUUUCAGACAUCAGGAGAUAAUUAUCCCUGUCUUCUCGGAACCAGCUUCUUCAAAGGAGUCAGGAAU